CCUACGGGAGGCAGCAGUGGGGAAUAUUGCGCAAUGGGCGAAAGCCUGACGCAGCGACGCCGCGUGAGGGAUGAAGGUCUUCGGAUCGUAAACCUCUUUCAGCAGGGAAGAACGGUCACUGUGCUAAUCAGCAGUGAAUUUACGGUACCUGCAAAGAUAGCACCGGCUAACUCCGUGCCAGCCGCCGCGGUAAUGCGGAGGGUGAGAGCGUUAAUCGGAAUUACUGGGCGUAAAGCGCUCGUAGGCGGUAUGUCAAUGCAAGGGUGAAAUGCCCGCGCUCAACGUGGGAACUGCCUUUGAAACUGGCAGACUUGAGUGUGUGAGAGGAGAGUGGAAUUCGAGGUGUAGGAGUG
This 353-nucleotide ribosomal RNA is filed under the name uncultured bacterium. RNAcentral's name for it is "partial 16S ribosomal RNA". It matches the Rfam family "Bacterial small subunit ribosomal RNA", at positions 338 to 683 of the family's 1533-position model. The record is from RNAcentral.